Molecule: long non-coding RNA, 1795 nt
Organism: Belonocnema kinseyi
Lineage: Eukaryota; Metazoa; Arthropoda; Insecta; Hymenoptera; Cynipidae
Exons: 3
Source: RefSeq, a predicted model, not a curated record
UGUAUAUUAUAUUAAACGAAUGUCAACUAGGAAUGUUUAAAUAAUACUAAGUUACCAACAGUGAAUAAGUUGGUCCAGGUAGUUGAUGGCGUCAACGUCAACUCAGAAAGUGCCUUGUGGAAGGUGCCAUUGUAUUUCUCCGUACACGAGUUCCAGUGCCCCUACAGUUCCAAAAAAGGAACUGAGCAAAUUUUCUCGUUUAUUUGUGAAAUGAUUUUUUUAUUUCACAUCAUACAACAGUUCGUGCAUUCUUUGGUUUAAUCUUGUAUUAAAAUUCUGCUUACUUUUCUCAGCUCCUUGGAUUACCUGUCGGAGUUUGAUGCGAAGUAUUUCUAAUGAUCCAGUAGUUUCAAAAUUAGUUCAGAGAGCUUCAAAAAGAUCAUCAUGAUCUUGGAGUGAUAAGAAACGAAUAGAUUUAUUUUUUUCUCCUUCAAUUUUCUCUGCAAUAAUCCAGCCUAAUAAAACUUCUAGAUUGGUGCACUGUGAUGUAAUUUUUUUUAAAAGAGUGAUGAAGGUUUUAACUCCCAUAUCGUCUUGUCCAUUGAAAUUUUUUAUUUAUUCAACCGCGUCUGUCGCAGGGCUAUUUUCGCUUGUGGUUGUUACUCUUUCAUUCGAGCUUUGUGGAAGCCUGUCUCUUGCCAGGAUGGCUUCAUUUUAGGUUGUUCGUUUUUCGUUCGACAACCUUCGAGGAAUCGUAGGUUUAAUUUGUUCUUGCCGUAACAACCGUUUUGAUUAUAAUGCUAAGAUCGCGUCAUCGUAACCUACUUGACAUUCCUCAUUCGUUCUCCCUUUCGCUUUCGUCCGAAGUAGCCAAAUAAAAAUUGUUUGCUACAGAGCGAAUUUUUUGCUUAUGACUAUUUAUUUCGGGUUCCAUGUUAGACAUUCGAUCCGAUAAUUUGUUUAGCAUGCCAAUUAUAUCUGCAUUAGUAGGUAGAAGGGGUUUAUUCGCCGUUUCUGACGAUGAGUUUUCCUUAAUUUCGUCUGUCAUUGUGUUCUUCGUAUUAGUGUGAGCAUCAUAGUGCACCGAAUUUAUAGAGUUUCUUAUUUAUGUUAAUGGAUAUCGGGUGGUGUAUCGCGCCGUGUUAUCUAAUCUCUAUAUUGUUCGAUACAAUGAAAUGCUCGCGUAGGCGUACAGUCCUUGACGACGUAAACCGUCCAGCCGGUGACUAUUUUCUAAUUUAAAUUUAUUAUUUGAAACGAAAGUGCUACAGAACACUGCUUAUAUGAAAUUUGUCCUCUUUAUUUAACUCAAUUAAGAUUCCCAGUAAAGAUCUACUGCAAUCCCAACGAUGCCAACUUGGUUAAGUGACUUCUCGCCUUCGAGACUAAUUUUUCAAGACAAGGAACUACUGUGAACCUGCUUAGCUCAGCCCAGUUCAUGAAAUAAUAAUUUUUAUGUGCAAGCCUGCUCCUGCCAAUUACUUUGGGUAAAGCUCAUUCAUCGCAGAUUUUUAUAAGCUUUCCCACAAUUGAAAAAAAUAUUUUCAUCUAUAGCCGAUACUAUGGUACUUCAAUUUAGAAGGAAUCUGUACUGUCGUAGGAGAACCGUGAAAAUGGAAAAUCAGCACUAUGGAUCUAAGUUAACUCUUCAAGUACCAGAAAAUUCUUAACGUUUUUUAAGACUCUAACCAUUAAGCCUCUAAAGAGAUCGAUGGAGGUACCUUUUUCAGAAAUACACGCUUUCCUUAGCGUGAUCGAUUGCUACCUUCUUCUAUGAUAGUACAGAUUCCUUAUAAAAUUGAAGUAUAUAAAACGUAACUCCUUAUUAAAGACAGCGUGUAUUUACGAAAAAAGG